This is an RNA transcript of Grus americana (Whooping crane), 5871 nucleotides long. It is a transcript of the gene named myocardial zonula adherens protein, with no coding region annotated. NCBI's taxonomy places the organism in Eukaryota, Metazoa, Chordata, Aves, Gruiformes, Gruidae. The record is from RefSeq and is a predicted model, not a curated record. The transcript is spliced from 13 exons.
CCCGGCCCCUGCGGCCGCCCGCGGCCAUGUGUGCGAGGGCGGAGCGGCGCCGCCGGCCAAAGGCAGCCGCAGUCAGCGGCAGCCCGGCGGCCCGUGGGGAUGCUGCGGUACAGCUCGGGGCUCACGGUCACCGCCACCACCCCCCGGAGGCCGUGCGGCGACGGCGGCCGCGCCCGGCGGAAGAUGAAUGUCUGUAGGUUACGCUUAACAGUACCACCUGAUGAAGGCUCACAGCCUGAACAGGGAGCAAAGGAACCUGAAAGAAAGAAAAAUGAGCUCUACCAUGUACCAAAUGGCAUGUCUCCAGGGAAGCUCUCUCAUGGGAUGGUGUAUGGCGUUGUGCACCGAACUGACAACAACCAUAAGAGAGAAAUGGUGGUUUAUGGCUGGUCAGCUGAUCAACUGAAAGAGGAGAUGAAUUACAUUAAAGAAGUGAGAGCAACUCUGGAAAAAGUAAGAAAGAAAAUGUAUGGUGAAUAUGAUGAAAUGAAACGAAAAAUACAGCAGCUUACGAAUGAACUGAAAGUGACAAAUGCUCAUCAGGAAUCCUUAGAGAAUCAUGUGCGAGUGCAGGCUGCAGCCUUAGAUAGCUUUAGUGAAAUGAACAGCUCCUUGACAUCAGCAUCAAUAGACUUGCAGAAAACUCUAGUGGAUGUUACAUUGGAGAACACUGAUAUAAGGGAACAAAUAAGGAAUUUAAAACAUACACAUGAACAAUCUAUGGAAAAGCUGAGAGAGAAGCAAAAGCAACUGGAAACAGCACAAAUUGAAAAUCAGUUACUGAAAUUAAAGGUGGAAUCAUCACAGGAGGCCAAUGCUGAAGUCAUGAGAGAGAUGACAAGGAAACUGUAUAGUCAGUAUGAGGAAAAAAUGCGAGAAGAGGAGCAGAAACAUAAAGCUGAGAAAGAAAUCCUCCUAGAGGAAACAAAUCGGCUUCUGAAGGCUAUUGAAGAGGCAAAUAAGAAGAUGCAGAUUACAGAAACAAGCAUACAGGAAAAAGACCAGAGAAUUGGUGAGCUGGACCGGCUGAUUGAACGCAUGGAAGAGGAACGUCACCAGCUGCAAAAACAACUUGAAUUCAAUGAAAUACAAAUAUCUGGAGCAAAAUCUGAAAACAGCUCUGACAGUGAAAGGUCACAGCAUUUGGAGGAGGUAGCAGCUAGCCUAAGAGAGCGAAUCAAACAUCUGGAUGAUAUGGUCCACUGCCAACAGAAGAAAGUCAAGCACAUGGUUGAGGAGAUUGAAAUGCUAAGGAAGAAGGUAAAAGAAAAGGAAUUAUUUAUAAUACAGCUUUUAGAAAAAAUCUCUUUCUUAGAAUGUGAGAAUAAAGAAUUACAAGAUAAAUUGGACUACUUAAUGGAAAACCAACCAAAGACCAAUAUAGAAACCAGAGAUACUGGUGUAGGGUGUGAUCUUCCAUACAGGUAUUUACUUUUUCUGCUUGUUCAUAGGAAACGUCUUCAUAAUGUCCCUUAUUGGUGCUGUAUUAGUAAACUGUUGUGCUAAUAAACUGUUAGAGUGGAUUGUGGAGUUUUGCAAAAUUUUCCCAAGUUUAAAAGAGCCUAUCUACUGUGCACUUCAAUGACUUAUGGAGUAGGAUUUUUCUAAAAAAAAAAGAUUGAAACAUAUUGCAAACCCUUGAGGAGUACUUAUUUACAGUAAUGUGAUUUAAGCAGGGAGUAAAGCUAGAAUUCAAGAGAUCUGACUUUGUGAAAUAUGGGAAAUCUUGAUGAAAUUUGUCUGCUGGGAGUGAAGCAGAAGACAAUAGACAGCUCUACCCUGAGGCAGGUUAAUGCUGGCUUCAUGCAUGCUUUAUUCUUUGUGUUCCGGGAGAUGCGUCCAGGACCAUUUUAAAGGGCAGACAACACCAACUGUAACAGUUUAGGGCCGCAGCAAUUUCUGGAGAUAUCCUAGCCCUAGGUAGAAGAUUGCCAAGUAAACAGCAUGGUAACAUUACCACUUCUGCACUGGAAUGGCUGUCUCUUAUCUGUGGUGGCCAGUGGAUCUGUAGCCUGGCUUUGUAAAGAUCCAGGUAUCAUGCCUUCCCUUUUCCUCCUCCCCUUUCUCUGCCCUGAACACUGCACCAGGGUUGCACUGAGCCCUGGGAGCAAGGCUGUGGACUUGCACUUGAAUCUUCCCCAAACAAGUCACCACAGGGAAGGGCAAAACAGAAACCAAAAUAGUAAGUACAAGUACUGAGAACAGAAGAUCUCCUGAAAGUGCAAGGCUGGUGAGGACAUACACCCCAUUCAAGAGAGUGUUGGAAUUUAGCACAAAGAACAGUACAUCUUGAGCAUUCAAGUCAACAUGCUUUCUAAAUACGAGUAAAUAUAUUGCGCCUUUGCAGCUUGAUUAGAUAAUUUUUUAUCAAGUCGUAGAGAAGAACAGCAGCAUGGAGUCUUGUUAAAUUUAUCCUGAAAACAGCUUUUUAGUAACUUCGUAUCUGAAGUUACUACUGACAGUAACUGUGAGGAGGAUAUAGAAGAGGUGGGAUGAGUGAAACAGCAGUCAAUAUUGCUUCUUUAGAAGCUGUCUAGUGCAAUGUGUCAUUUCACAUGCCUGUAAGGAAGGAGUUGUAUAGCUGUAAAGUUUUUUUUUUUUUCUUCAAUUGUGUUGUAAUUCUGUUUGUGUAAUGAAGCUAUAAUAUAUUUUAUUGUCAAUACUACUAGAAGCAGCAUCUGAAACUAUGCUGGCAGAGGGCAUUAGUCUGUCAUAGAGACCUGGUAUUGCUGGGUCUUUGUUCACCUGGAAAUUGUAACCAGCACUCUUUGCUGGGAGGGAGAGAUGCAACUGGGCUGUUUCAAACAAUUUCCUUAACGCACGUAGAUGGAUGUCAUGUUUGAUGCUCAAAAGAGUUAGCGAUAGAGCAGAUUAUAAUGGAUUUUGCUUUGCUGGACUGAGACACUGGUUUGCACUUCCUCAGUCAUGGGAUAGAGUGACUAUUGGUGAUACAUUCAAAAUAAUUGUGUAGGAAAAUGCCUUUCACUUUUUUUUAUUUACUCUUCCAUUAGAGGAAGGAAUUUUCAUUAAACAGAAUUUUGCCUACAGCAACCUGCAGCAGUUCCUGCAAUUCCUACAGCAAUAGCAAUCCUGAAUCAGGAUUUUGAGGUGGUUUUUUUUGUUGUUUAGGGGGCUUUUGGGGGUUGGUUUGGUGGUGGUGGUUUCGGGUUUUUUGCCAAAGCACUUAAAAUCUUAUCCUUGACUUCAAAGUACCAGCAGGAAUGACUGCAUCUAGUACUGAACUCAUUUAAAUAUAUAUAGGGUAUUUUUUUUACAUCUUGUUUUAUCUCCCACUCUUAGUGAACACAAAUGAAUUAUGAGUACUUUCUUGUAGUUCUAUUAACAUGAAUGAAGGGCAUUUUUUAUUAUAGUAACUGCUACAAACAACUUAUGUUUUGUAUGAUUAAUAUUGUUCUUCCAUUGAAUGUCUGUCCCAGGAGGUACUCACCUUGCCACAGGGCUUCACAGAGUGUUUGCUUUUAUCACCAGUCUAAUGCAAAUUCUUAAAUUCAGUACUGUCUGUUCAAAUUAAGUAUACUCAGUAGAGUUGUAUUUAAAAUAAUAAUAUUGAUCUCAUAAUCCAGAUCUUAUUCCUGCAUUAUUUCAUGGGUUUCUGAAUUUGUUAGAGCUUUGUUUAUUCUGUAGCUGUGCUGUUUAACUAGUAAAUAAAGAAGCUUGUUUUGAUGUGGUACAGGUAUCUUGCAGGAACAUUAAUUGCUUAAUAUAAUCAAAGCAUAUACAAAACAAAAGGGGAAGCUCAAACUUCUCCAGCUUUUGUGCUCAGAUCAUCCUCUGUUUGCAUGUAAGUUAUUUUUUUUCAACUCCUGAGAACUUAAAAUAGUCAUUCUUUCUAAAAGAUCAAGCACAGUAUUAUGGAUUAUAUUAUGCACAAAAUUCAGUAAUUGCAAUCAAAGCCAUUAACAAAAAGGUAAAUUAUCUACUGUGUGAAGGAAUCUCUCUAAUCUUCACUAGUAUAGAAGUUGCAAACAGCUGCUCAAUUUUUCUUUUAAAAAGAGUAAUUUAAAAAUGCAUCGUUUGUUUUAAUAGCCCUAAAAGGAAACUCUAUUUACUUUGCAUGUGAUAAAGGAAUGCAAAAGAUCUCAUAGCUAUCAAAAGGGCAAAGAAAACCCUCCAGCUGUCACAUUAGUAAACAGGCAUAAUACCAUACGUUUACUUAAAUAGCUUCUCCCAGAGAAGAGGUGCAAAACCUCUAGAAUGGGAAAGGACCCGAAGAGAAGGUCCCUGAGAAUAAAGUCUGUUCCAUAUAAAAACAGUCCUCAGACAAAGCACCCUCUUGUUAUGCAAAGCAGAGGAAUUGUCUUGUAUCUGAACACCAAAGACAUGGAACCAGCUGACACGUAAAGAAGCUGUAGUCUCAGCCCUGCAUAGGAUAUUUUUGAUUGAAUGAAGUCUUGUGGCUUGAGUGAAUUUGGGUGGCUGAGUUUGCUGAACAGAGUUCCCAAAUAACAGUUGAUUUGAUCGAUAACUAAAUUAAUUAUGGCUAUGAACAACUAAGAUCAAGAAGUCAAGCUCUAAAUGAGAAAACAUUUAAAUUGGAAGUGUAUGUUGAUGAAUCCAAAACGUGAUGGGUAAUGACCCAACUCAAAUGUCAGGGAUAAGUUUUGUACUUGUGUAAUCAUAUCUCCCUCUAGUGGCUGAUAACCCCAAAUAUUCAGACAGUAUCUGUUUUUGAAAAGACACUGAAAACUAAUCCCAACUGGCCAUAUUAAUGUUCAUUAUGGAUGCAGCUUUAGUUCAUUACAUAAUGCCUUUUGGCUUUUUUUGUGCCCAAAUAGUCCCCCUAUAUUUCAGGAAUUUAAUUCUGAACCAUGGUUUGUGAAGUUAUCUUCAAACUUAAGAUGAAUGGAUGAGGGUGGUAUUUAUAGAUAAAAGAAAAUGCAUGUUGUUGUAAAAGACAUUAACUAACAAGUUUAAGUAAAAGUACUUUAUCCCUGUGUUUUUGGCCAGAAUUCAAAAAACAGAACCUGAUGACUGUGAGGUCCUCAGUGAAUGGUAGGAGAGGGCAGAACGAAGUAUCAAAAUGCUCUUUUGACACAAACUUCAAAGGGAAGUUCAUUCUACUUUUAAUGUACUCCUGGGGAUCUCCUAUGAAAAUACUGCAAGCUAUUUUAACUCUGAGACUUGCAAAAUGAUGAUCAUCUGCUCAAGACUACAAAGACUGCAACAAGGCAUUGAAUUCUUCCUGUAAAAGUUUUCUCUGUAAAUUCUGUCUUGACUAUAUGAUGAAAUGAUUUUGUUUUUCUAAACCAAAUAACGAUGGAAGACUAUGCUAUAUUUUAAGAGCAUUUUGAGUUGCAAUGAGCUGGAUGACCAUCAUUUGAUUGGACUACUGGUCUAAAUUUGGUAACUGUGAAGAACAGGAGAGGAACAGUAUUUAUAUAACUGUGUUACAUGAAAAUGUAGAGCUUUCCAGUCAAAUCAGCAGCAACGUAAAUUAUCAUAGAUAAUAACAAAUCUGACUGAAGAGACUGUGACACUUCAGUAUAAAUUUUGUCAAUUUGAGAUUGGGUUAAUUAGUACUAUAACAUUAGAAACUAGUAAAAUUUCUGUAAACAUCAGUAAAAGCCAUAUAGAUAGGUCCCAGAAAGUGCAUUAAAUAUAAGUCAAUUGUAUGACUGCAUUUGUACCGUGAUAAGUAUUCUUUUGUGAUUUAUUCCAGACACUCUGGAAAGUAUUUUGGGAUACAGUUUUCAUGUAUGCUACAUAAAUAAUGCAGUUCAAUUGUAUGCUUUUAAUACAUCUUGUAUGUAGGACUUGAAAAGGAUAAAUUGCAAUAAAUAUGGUAUUUAAACUUUUUAUUCUGUUGUGCCAACAUUCAUUUAGAAAUAAACUUACCUUAAAACUUGCAAA